AGUGAACGCUGGCGGUAGGCCUAACACAUGCAAGUCGAACGGCAGCACAGUAAGAGCUUGCUCUUACGGGUGGCGAGUGGCGGGCGGGUGAGGAAUACAUCGGAAUCUACUUUUUCGUGGGGGAUAACGUAGGGAAACUUACGCUAAUACCGCAUACGACCUACGGUUGAAAGCAGGGGAUCUUCGGACCUUGCGCGAUUGAAUGAGCCGAUGUCGGAUUAGCUAGUUGGCGGGGUAAAGGCCCACCAAGGCGACGAUCCGUAGCUGGUCUGAGAGGAUGAUCAGCCACACUGGAACUGAGACACGGUCCAGACUCCUACGGGAGGCAGCAGUGGGGAAUAUUGGACAAUGGGCGCAAGCCUGAUCCAGCCAUACCGCGUGGGUGAAGAAGGCCUUCGGGUUGUAAAGCCCUUUUGUUGGGAAAGAAAAGCAGCAGGUUAAUACCCCGCUGUUCUGACGGUACCCAAAGAAUAAGCACCGGCUAACUUCGUG
RNAcentral lists this ribosomal RNA (492 nucleotides) under uncultured bacterium. RNAcentral's name for it is "partial 16S ribosomal RNA". It matches the Rfam family "Bacterial small subunit ribosomal RNA", at positions 29 to 507 of the family's 1533-position model. The record is from RNAcentral.